CCUACGGGAGGCAGCAGUGGGGAAUCUUCCGCAAUGGGCGAAAGCCUGACGGAGCAACGCCGCGUGAGUGAAGAAGGUCUUCGGAUCGUAAAGCUCUGUUGUCGGGGACGAAAGGGUAGACGAGGUAAUGCGUUUACUAAGACGGUACCCGACGAGGAAGCCACGGCUAACUACGUGCCAGCAGCCGCGGUAAUACGUAGGCGGCAAGCGUUGUCCGGAAUUAUUGGGCGUAAAGGGAGCGCAGGUGGGACGGUAAGUCCGUCUUAAAAGGCAGGGGCUCAGCCCCUGUAAGGGAUGGAAACUAUCGAUCUUGAGUGCCGGAGAGGAAAGCGGAAUUCCCAGUGUAGCGGUGAAAUGCGUAGAUAUUGGGAAGAACACCAGUGGCGAAGGCGGCUUUCUGGACGGCAACUGACACUGAGGCUCGAAAGCCAGGGGAGCGAACGGGAUUAGAUACCCGGGUAGUC
RNAcentral lists this ribosomal RNA (464 nucleotides) under uncultured Schwartzia sp. RNAcentral describes it as "bacterial SSU rRNA". It matches the Rfam family "Bacterial small subunit ribosomal RNA", at positions 338 to 795 of the family's 1533-position model. Lineage: Bacteria; Bacillati; Bacillota; Negativicutes; Selenomonadales; Selenomonadaceae. The record is from RNAcentral.